ACAUUAAAAAAGUUAGAAAAGCCAGAUCCCUCAUUUCCACUUCCCGCUGAACUCCCUUCCUCUCUUCUAGUUCCACUUUUAGGGUUCGCAUAUGGUUGAAGAUGGAGGAAAUGAUACCGACAAUGUAAGAGCCAUACAAUUAAAUGGAGGAUCAUGUUCAGAAGUUAUGCAUUGAGCUUCGUCCGACUUCGAAUAUGUCAAAGUUGCUUCCGUUCGCAAUGAUUUCGACACCUCUACUCGUCUCCUUACUCAUGCUCUAGUUGAUAAACAGGUUUGAGAUGUCACCAAGAUUGAUUCACGAAAAAUGGAUAACCUCCAAGGCAACUCCACAACUGUUACUGGCAACUUAAAACUGUAUAUGACAUUAGCAAUUUGUGUAUCCUUUAUCCAGAAAGAAUAGCCGGGAUUGUUAGCAUAAGAAAUAUGUAUUACAGUUUUGCUAUCAUAUUACAGCUAAUCAAGUAGCCAAUUAUCUUGACCGGUUACAUGUUUUGUUUUAUGCAGGUUUAUUUUCAGUUGUUUUUGGACACGCAAUAUUCGGUACGAUAUACUUCGUAUACUACAAAGUCUGCUUAUGAGAAGCUGGAAAAUUGGUGACAGUACCCAGGUUUUACAAAGGCAAGAUAUUUUCUCCAAACCGGUACACUCAAGAGGAGAUCGACGAUGUUCGAGAAAAAUGGAGCAGCUAUUUUUAUUAAUAGUUGGAUUAGAUAGCGUGCAAGUAAAAGGACAUAUAUCUAUGAGUUAUCGGACUUGGCAAGCCAACAACAAAGGAUCUCGAAAGUCUCUAAGAUGGAAAAAAUUUAUAUGUUCUCGCGAACCGGAAAUGCUUGAAUGUUGCUAUUACGUCAUGAAGUACAUGUAUCAAAUAGUUUUACUUGGAUUACAAAGUAUUAGUAAUGUGGAAGAGAUAUUUUCUCCAAACCCAUACACUCAAGAGGAGAUCGAUGAUGUUCGAGAAAAAUGGAGUAGAUAUUUUAUUAGUAGUUUGUAGUCAUUUUCUAGUUUUCACAGAUAGAAAUUAAACUAUAACAAAGCGCAGGUUAUUUUUUGGAAUACAAUUAUUUACAAUUGUACGUUGAACCAACUUUCUUGUUUGAAUUAAUACAAAAAUAUUUUCGC
Spinacia oleracea (spinach) is the source of this 1122-nucleotide RNA transcript. RefSeq lists it as uncharacterized. NCBI's taxonomy places the organism in Eukaryota, Viridiplantae, Streptophyta, Magnoliopsida, Caryophyllales, Amaranthaceae. The record is from RefSeq and is a predicted model, not a curated record. The transcript is spliced from 8 exons.